AAAGUAGCUCAGCAGGUGAGAGCGGCGGCCUUAUAAGCCGUGUGUCGGGAGUUCGAAUCUCCCCUUUC
RNAcentral lists this transfer RNA (68 nucleotides) under uncultured Eubacterium sp. It matches the Rfam family "tRNA". From Rfam's summary of the family: Transfer RNA (tRNA) molecules are approximately 80 nucleotides in length. Their secondary structure includes four short double-helical elements and three loops (D, anti-codon, and T loops). Further hydrogen bonds mediate the characteristic L-shaped molecular structure. tRNAs have two regions of fundamental functional importance: the anti-codon, which is responsible for specific mRNA codon recognition, and the 3' end, to which the tRNAs corresponding amino acid is attached (by aminoacyl-tRNA synthetases). tRNAs cope with the degeneracy of the genetic code in two manners: having more than one tRNA (with a specific anti-codon) for a particular amino acid; and 'wobble' base-pairing, i.e. permitting non-standard base-pairing at the 3rd anti-codon position. The record is from RNAcentral. Lineage: Bacteria; Bacillati; Bacillota; Clostridia; Eubacteriales; Eubacteriaceae.